CUUGGCGUGAGGUUAAUUUCAUAGAAGGCCAAGGUCAUCUGCAUUCCAUCUUAAACAGGAAAGAAAGCAAGGUGCAGCUUGGCAGGGGCCAAGAUAAGAGCUGAGGCCACUGAUGUAUGUCCAGUUGCAGCCUGGAAACCAUCACGGGGGAUGACAUAAACCACCGUCCACGUACGAUGCUUUAUAGGUUGUGUGGACAUGGGCUCCGGAGCCAGACCCCUUGGGUUCCGGUCCACGUUCACCAUUCAUUGGUUGCAAGCGGUACCAAGUUUGUGAUGAGAUGUUUCCGUGAUUGUUGGAUCGGUGGCUUUUCCCAAGUAGACCACGAGCUCCAGAGCUCUGACUGCCGGGAGAAGGAAGAGGACAGCCCCUCGGGGCCGCACAGAAUGGACAGGCCAAGCGACAGGAGGGAGGCCGCCCGCUCUCCUCCAGGGCCUCGAGGAAGGCACAGUCACACCUGCAAAACACAGCGCCCAUCUUUUUCAUCCGCUUUUACCUCUCAGGAGACCCCGGUCCCCAGAGACCUGUUUUCACCUCCCCGGCUCGGCACACAUGUUUUCUACAUGAUAUUAACCGGUCGCCUUUGAAUCUCGCACAUCCUGGUAUGCUUUGGAUUCACCGACCUCAUUUUUACACACACACACACACACACACACACACACACACCCCAGAAUCUGUACUAGCUGACUGCCGGCAAAAGAAAACGUUAGUGUGGCUCUCUCUCCUUCUUUUAAACAGCUUAAUUGAGAUACAAUGUACACGCCAUAAAACUCACUUAAAGUGUGUUCUUGCCUGACUUUGC
Molecule: long non-coding RNA, 802 nt
Organism: Panthera uncia (snow leopard)
Lineage: Eukaryota; Metazoa; Chordata; Mammalia; Carnivora; Felidae
Exons: 3
Source: RefSeq, a predicted model, not a curated record